CUUGACGACCAUAGAGCAUUGGCACCACCUGAUCCCAUCCCGAACUCAGCAGUGAAACGAUGCAUCGCCGAUGGUAUUGUGGGGUUUCCCCAUGUGAGAGUAGGUCAUCGUCAAGA
This 116-nucleotide ribosomal RNA is filed under the name Pseudomonas typographi. The record is from RNAcentral. Lineage: Bacteria; Pseudomonadati; Pseudomonadota; Gammaproteobacteria; Pseudomonadales; Pseudomonadaceae.